GACGUAGGUGGCGAACGUUAUCCGGAAUUAUUGGGCGUAAAGGGUGCGUAGGUGGCUUGAAAAGUUAUCAGUGGCAAAUCGAGGCUUAACCUCGCGGAAACUGGUAAUACUGUUUGGCUCGAGUGCAGGAGAGGUUAACGGAACUCUAUGUGGAGCGGUAAAAUGCACAGAUAUAUAGAAGAACACCAAUAACGGCGAAGGCAGUUAACUAUUCUGUUACUGACACUGAGGCACGAAAGCGUGGGGGGCAAAACGG
RNAcentral lists this ribosomal RNA (256 nucleotides) under uncultured bacterium. RNAcentral's name for it is "partial 16S ribosomal RNA". It matches the Rfam family "Bacterial small subunit ribosomal RNA", at positions 524 to 776 of the family's 1533-position model. The record is from RNAcentral.